RNAcentral lists this transfer RNA (72 nucleotides) under Magnusiomyces suaveolens. RNAcentral describes it as "Saprochaete suaveolens tRNA-Met". It matches the Rfam family "tRNA". Rfam says of the family: Transfer RNA (tRNA) molecules are approximately 80 nucleotides in length. Their secondary structure includes four short double-helical elements and three loops (D, anti-codon, and T loops). Lineage: Eukaryota; Fungi; Ascomycota; Dipodascomycetes; Dipodascales; Dipodascaceae. The record is from RNAcentral. RNAcentral also lists the same sequence under 1 other name.
GAAGUUAUAGCUUAAUGGUUAAAGCAGAUCACUCAUAAUGUUCGUAUCAGAGUUCAAUUCUCUGUAACUUUA